RNAcentral lists this long non-coding RNA (250 nucleotides) under Homo sapiens (human). RNAcentral's name for it is "HSALNT0326260". Lineage: Eukaryota; Metazoa; Chordata; Mammalia; Primates; Hominidae. The record is from RNAcentral.
GUUAAUUCAGCCUUGCUAAACUACCAAAAGAGAAGAAAUAAGCCUCCAGAACCAUCUAGAUGUCUCUCCUUGCCUAAAGAAGAAGCAGUAUCAAGGAGUUGAGAGCAAUCAAUUAUUUCAAAUGCUGCUGAUAGGUCAAGUGAAAGAACUGAAGAUUGGAUUUAGUAACAGAGAACUAAGAAGCAAGGUCACCAGCUGAAAGUGAGGAUGACAAGAAGGUGUUGGACAUUUGAGGGGAGAUGAGAGGCAU